Molecule: long non-coding RNA, 965 nt
Organism: Marmota flaviventris (yellow-bellied marmot)
Lineage: Eukaryota; Metazoa; Chordata; Mammalia; Rodentia; Sciuridae
Source: RefSeq, a predicted model, not a curated record
CGGGAGUGUUCUCCUGGAGUAGCGCGGGAGGGGUGGACUGCGGACUUCGCACCCCAGGCCUCGGCGGAUCGCGGUGGGCGGGGGUCGCGCCCGGCUCCCGGAGAGGCACUCUCCAGUGGUCAUCGCGACGACCCCCUCCGCGGCCCGGGCCGACUCGCCUGCGAAAUAGGAAUGGUGGUGCGUGUGUCGUGGGAGAGACCCGAGGGGCUGGGCCGGUGGCGGGGAGCCUUCGGUGACCGCCGGUCCCUGGUGCUUUGCACGGCGGAGGCAGGGCCGUCCUGCGCGGGCUCCAGGCGGUUUCUUCGGUCUCCUCACACUUUUUCUCCGUACAAGUGAUACAUUUUAGUCGUUAUUUGCGCCCCUUGCAAUCCGUGUACUCAGUAAGGAUCUAAAGAGGGCUACUGUAUCCCAAGAAAGAACAAGUGCUGGGAAAACCGGUAGGCAGGGUCCUUUCUUUCCAAGAAUUUAGAUCCUCUUUGAAGAGAGAGUAAAAACCUAAACAAACAAAAUCAAGCAAUUUCUCACACCGUCCGGUAUUUUCCAAGAAUAGGGGCCCUAUUUUAGUAUUUUAAUAGGAGUAGUUGCAGGAAAAGAUGACUAAGAAAGGAAGUGUUUGAAGCAGGAGGAAUACUGUGCAGAGAGGUGGAGGGGACUCAGUCUGAGGACGGGUCUUGUCAGGAAGAAAGAAAGGAUGAAAGUUAUGUCUACCUGCUCAGUUGAUUAGUUUUCAAGAUAGGAGGUUAUGUGAAUUAAUGCGUGUAGUAGUUUCACACCAGAACUCCUGAUUAAGUUCAUUUAAAUCCUGAUUUUUUUCAGUGGACAUUUCAUAAUUCUUCUUUCAGAGAUGAAAAGGGACUUUAUCAAAAUAGUCUUAUUCUUUCCCACAUUGGAAAUUUGGAGUUGGAAAGAAAGUGAGUUUUUUGUAAAUUAUUAAAAAUUAAUGUCAAUAAAUGUUUCAGAAAAGU